This 2915-nucleotide ribosomal RNA is filed under the name Staphylococcus aureus. RNAcentral describes it as "23S ribosomal RNA". It matches the Rfam family "Bacterial large subunit ribosomal RNA". Lineage: Bacteria; Bacillati; Bacillota; Bacilli; Caryophanales; Staphylococcaceae. The record is from RNAcentral.
GAUUAAGUUAUUAAGGGCGCACGGUGGAUGCCUUGGCACUAGAAGCCGAUGAAGGACGUUACUAACGACGAUAUGCUUUGGGGAGCUGUAAGUAAGCUUUGAUCCAGAGAUUUCCGAAUGGGGAAACCCAGCAUGAGUUAUGUCAUGUUAUCGAUAUGUGAAUACAUAGCAUAUCAGAAGGCACACCCGGAGAACUGAAACAUCUUAGUACCCGGAGGAAGAGAAAGAAAAUUCGAUUCCCUUAGUAGCGGCGAGCGAAACGGAAGAGCCCAAACCAACAAGCUUGCUUGUUGGGGUUGUAGGACACUCUGUACGGAGUUACAAAGGACGACAUUAGACGAAUCAUCUGGAAAGAUGAAUCAAAGAAGGUAAUAAUCCUGUAGUCGAAAAUGUUGUCUCUCUUGAGUGGAUCCUGAGUACGACGGAGCACGUGAAAUUCCGUCGGAAUCUGGGAGGACCAUCUCCUAAGGCUAAAUACUCUCUAGUGACCGAUAGUGAACCAGUACCGUGAGGGAAAGGUGAAAAGCACCCCGGAAGGGGAGUGAAAUAGAACCUGAAACCGUGUGCUUACAAGUAGUCAGAGCCCGUUAAUGGGUGAUGGCGUGCCUUUGUAGAAUGAACCGGCGAGUUACGAUUUGAUGCAAGGUUAAGCAGUAAAUGUGGAGCCGUAGCGAAAGCGAGUCUGAAUAGGGCGUUUAGUAUUUGGUCGUAGACCCGAAACCAGGUGAUCUACCCUUGGUCAGGUUGAAGUUCAGGUAACACUGAAUGGAGGACCGAACCGACUUACGUUGAAAAGUGAGCGGAUGAACUGAGGGUAGCGGAGAAAUUCCAAUCGAACCUGGAGAUAGCUGGUUCUCUCCGAAAUAGCUUUAGGGCUAGCCUCAAGUGAUGAUUAUUGGAGGUAGAGCACUGUUUGGACGAGGGGCCCCUCGGGUUACCGAAUUCAGACAAACUCGAAUGCCAAUUAAUUUAACUUGGGAGUCAGAACAUGGGUGAUAAGGUCCGUGUUCGAAAGGGAAACAGCCCAGACCACCAGCUAAGGUCCCAAAAUAUAUGUUAAGUGGAAAAGGAUGUGGCGUUGCCCAGACAACUAGGAUGUUGGCUUAGAAGCAGCCAUCAUUUAAAGAGUGCGUAAUAGCUCACUAGUCGAGUGACACUGCGCCGAAAAUGUACCGGGGCUAAACAUAUUACCGAAGCUGUGGAUUGUCCUUUGGACAAUGGUAGGAGAGCGUUCUAAGGGCGUUGAAGCAUGAUCGUAAGGACAUGUGGAGCGCUUAGAAGUGAGAAUGCCGGUGUGAGUAGCGAAAGACGGGUGAGAAUCCCGUCCACCGAUUGACUAAGGUUUCCAGAGGAAGGCUCGUCCGCUCUGGGUUAGUCGGGUCCUAAGCUGAGGCCGACAGGCGUAGGCGAUGGAUAACAGGUUGAUAUUCCUGUACCACCUAUAAUCGUUUUAAUCGAUGGGGGACGCAGUAGGAUAGGCGAAGCGUGCGAUUGGAUUGCACGUCUAAGCAGUAAGGCUGAGUAUUAGGCAAAUCCGGUACUCGUUAAGGCUGAGCUGUGAUGGGGAGAAGACAUUGUGUCUUCGAGUCGUUGAUUUCACACUGCCGAGAAAAGCCUCUAGAUAGAAAAUAGGUGCCCGUACCGCAAACCGACACAGGUAGUCAAGAUGAGAAUUCUAAGGUGAGCGAGCGAACUCUCGUUAAGGAACUCGGCAAAAUGACCCCGUAACUUCGGGAGAAGGGGUGCUCUUUAGGGUUAACGCCCAGAAGAGCCGCAGUGAAUAGGCCCAAGCGACUGUUUAUCAAAAACACAGGUCUCUGCUAAACCGUAAGGUGAUGUAUAGGGGCUGACGCCUGCCCGGUGCUGGAAGGUUAAGAGGAGUGGUUAGCUUCUGCGAAGCUACGAAUCGAAGCCCCAGUAAACGGCGGCCGUAACUAUAACGGUCCUAAGGUAGCGAAAUUCCUUGUCGGGUAAGUUCCGACCCGCACGAAAGGCGUAACGAUUUGGGCACUGUCUCAACGAGAGACUCGGUGAAAUCAUAGUACCUGUGAAGAUGCAGGUUACCCGCGACAGGACGGAAAGACCCCGUGGAGCUUUACUGUAGCCUGAUAUUGAAAUUCGGCACAGCUUGUACAGGAUAGGUAGGAGCCUUUGAAACGUGAGCGCUAGCUUACGUGGAGGCGCUGGUGGGAUACUACCCUAGCUGUGUUGGCUUUCUAACCCGCACCACUUAUCGUGGUGGGAGACAGUGUCAGGCGGGCAGUUUGACUGGGGCGGUCGCCUCCUAAAAGGUAACGGAGGCGCUCAAAGGUUCCCUCAGAAUGGUUGGAAAUCAUUCAUAGAGUGUAAAGGCAUAAGGGAGCUUGACUGCGAGACCUACAAGUCGAGCAGGGUCGAAAGACGGACUUAGUGAUCCGGUGGUUCCGCAUGGAAGGGCCAUCGCUCAACGGAUAAAGCUACCCCGGGGAUAACAGGCUUAUCUCCCCAAGAGUUCACAUCGACGGGGAGGUUUGGCACCUCGAUGUCGGCUCAUCGCAUCCUGGGGCUGUAGUCGGUCCCAAGGGUUGGGCUGUUCGCCCAUUAAAGCGGUACGCGAGCUGGGUUCAGAACGUCGUGAGACAGUUCGGUCCCUAUCCGUCGUGGGCGUAGGAAAUUUGAGAGGAGCUGUCCUUAGUACGAGAGGACCGGGAUGGACAUACCUCUGGUGUACCAGUUGUCGUGCCAACGGCAUAGCUGGGUAGCUAUGUGUGGACGGGAUAAGUGCUGAAAGCAUCUAAGCAUGAAGCCCCCCUCAAGAUGAGAUUUCCCAACUUCGGUUAUAAGAUCCCUCAAAGAUGAUGAGGUUAAUAGGUUCGAGGUGGAAGCAUGGUGACAUGUGGAGCUGACGAAUACUAAUCGAUCGAAGACUUAAUCAA